AUUGAACGCUGGCGGCAUGCUUUACACAUGCAAGUCGAACGGUAACAGGCCGCAAGGUGCUGACGAGUGGCGAACGGGUGAGUAAUGCAUCGGAGCGUGCCCAGUCGUGGGGGAUAACUACUCGAAAGAGUAGCUAAUACCGCAUACGAUCUAUGGAUGAAAGCGGGGGACCGUAAGGCCUCGCGCGAUUGGAGCGGCCGAUGUCAGAUUAGGUAGUUGGUGGGGUAAAGGCUCACCAAGCCAACGAUCUGUAGCUGGUCUGAGAGGACGACCAGCCACACUGGGACUGAGACACGGCCCAGACUCCUACGGGAGGCGGCAGUGGGGAAUUUUGGACAAUGGGCGCAAGCCUGAUCCAGCAAUGCCGCGUGCAGGAAGAAGGCCUUCGGGUUGUAAACUGCUUUUGUACGGAACGAAACGGCUCUGGUUAAUACCCGGGGCUAAUGACGGUACCGUAAGAAUAAGCACCGGCUAACUACGUG
This 482-nucleotide ribosomal RNA is filed under the name uncultured bacterium. Its description in RNAcentral is "partial 16S ribosomal RNA". It matches the Rfam family "Bacterial small subunit ribosomal RNA", at positions 30 to 507 of the family's 1533-position model. The record is from RNAcentral.